RNAcentral lists this ribosomal RNA (538 nucleotides) under Kitasatospora sp. RNAcentral's name for it is "bacterial SSU rRNA". It matches the Rfam family "Bacterial small subunit ribosomal RNA", at positions 85 to 637 of the family's 1533-position model. The record is from RNAcentral. Lineage: Bacteria; Bacillati; Actinomycetota; Actinomycetes; Kitasatosporales; Streptomycetaceae.
GGGUGGAUCAUUGGCGAACGGGUGAGUAACACGUGGGCAAUCUGCCCUGCACUCUGGGACAAGCCCUGGAAACGGGGUCUAAUACCGGAUACGACCCGCCCCUGCAUGGGGGUGGGUGGAAAGCUCCGGCGGUGCAUGAUGAGCCCGCGGCCUAUCAGCUUGUUGGUGGGGUAAUGGCCUACCAAGGCGACUACGGGUAGCCGGCCUGAGAGGGCGACCGGCCACACUGGGACUGAGACACGGCCCAGACUCCUACAGGAGGCAGCAGUGGGGAAUAUUGCACAAUGGGCGAAAGCCUGAUGCACCGACGCCGCGUGAGGGAUGACGGCCUUCGGGUUGUAAACCUCUUUCAGCAGGGAAGAAGCGCAGGUGACGGUACCUGCAGAAGAAGCACCGGCUAACUACGUGCCAGCAGCCGCGGUAAUACGUAUGGUGCGAGCGUUGUCCGGAAUUAUUGGGCGUAAAGAGCUCGUACGCGGCCUGUCGCGUCGGAUGUGAAAGCCCGGGGCUUAACCCCGGGUCUGCAUUCGAUACGGGC